UGCCAGACUCCUACGGGAGGCAGCAGUGAGGAAUAUUGGUCAAUGGGCGGGAGCCUGAACCAGCCAAGUCGCGUGAGGGAGUACUGCCCUAUGGGUUGUAAACCUCUUUUGUCGGGGAGCAAAUGCCGGACGAGUCCGGCUGUGAGAGUACCCGAAGAAAAAGCAUCGGCUAACUCCGUGCCAGCAGCCGCGGUAAUACGGAGGAUGCGAGCGUUAUCCGGAUUUAUUGGGUUUAAAGGGUGCGUAGGCGGUCGGAUAAGUUAGAGGUGAAGUCCCGAGGCUCAACUUCGGAAUUGCCUCUGAUACUGUUCGGCUAGAGAGUAGUUGCGGUAGGCGGAAUGUAUGGUGUAGCGGUGAAAUGCUUAGAGAUCAUACAGAACACCGAUUGCGAAGGCAGCUUACCAAGCUACUUCUGACGUUGAGGCACGAAAGCGUGGGGAGCAAACAGGAUUAGAUACCCGCGUAAGC
RNAcentral lists this ribosomal RNA (468 nucleotides) under uncultured bacterium. RNAcentral's name for it is "bacterial SSU rRNA". It matches the Rfam family "Bacterial small subunit ribosomal RNA", at positions 329 to 794 of the family's 1533-position model. The record is from RNAcentral.